RNAcentral lists this ribosomal RNA (466 nucleotides) under uncultured bacterium. Its description in RNAcentral is "bacterial SSU rRNA". It matches the Rfam family "Bacterial small subunit ribosomal RNA", at positions 329 to 793 of the family's 1533-position model. The record is from RNAcentral.
UUCCAGACUCCUACGGGAGGCAGCAGUGAGGAAUAUUGGUCAAUGGCCGAGAGGCUGAACCAGCCAAGUCGCGUGAGGGAAGACGGCCCUACGGGUUGUAAACCUCUUUUGUCGGGGAGCAAAGCGAACCACGUGUGGUUCAUUGAGAGUACCCGAAGAAAAAGCAUCGGCUAACUCCGUGCCAGCAGCCGCGGUAAUACGGAGGAUGCGAGCGUUAUCCGGAUUUAUUGGGUUUAAAGGGUGCGCAGGCGGAGGUGCAAGUCAGCGGUCAAAUUGCGGGGCUCAACCCCGUCGUGCCGUUGAAACUGGCGUUCUUGAGUGAGCGAGAAGUAUGCGGAAUGCGUGGUGUAGCGGUGAAAUGCAUAGAUAUCACGCAGAACUCCGAUUGCGAAGGCAGCAUACCGGCGCUCAACUGACGCUCAUGCACGAAAGCGUGGGUAUCGAACAGGAUUAGAUACCCCGGUAG